RNAcentral lists this ribosomal RNA (859 nucleotides) under Suberoteratosphaeria suberosa. Its description in RNAcentral is "eukaryotic LSU rRNA". It matches the Rfam family "Eukaryotic large subunit ribosomal RNA", at positions 51 to 943 of the family's 3401-position model. The record is from RNAcentral. Lineage: Eukaryota; Fungi; Ascomycota; Dothideomycetes; Mycosphaerellales; Teratosphaeriaceae.
CGGAGGAAAAGAAACCAACAGGGAUUGCCCUAGUAACGGCGAGUGAAGCGGCAACAGCUCAAAUUUGAAAUCUGGCGCAAGCCCGAGUUGUAAUUUGUAGAGGAUGCUUCAGGGCAGCGACCGGUCUAAGUUCCUUGGAACAGGACGUCAUAGAGGGUGAGAAUCCCGUAUGCGACCGGUUGGCACCCGUCACGUAGCUCCUUCGACGAGUCGAGUUGUUUGGGAAUGCAGCUCUAAAUGGGAGGUAAAUGCCUUCUAAAGCUAAAUACCGGCCAGAGACCGAUAGCGCACAAGUAGAGUGAUCGAAAGAUGAAAAGCACUUUGGAAAGAGAGUUAAAAAGCACGUGAAAUUGUUGAAAGGGAAGCGCAUGCAACCAGACUUGUCGGCGGUGUUCAGCCGGUCUUCUGACCGGUCUACUCGCCGCCGGCAGGCCAACAUCAUUUGGGAGCGCCGGACAAAGGUGGGAGGAAUGUGGCCCCUCGGGGUGUUAUAGCCUCCUACGCAAUACGGCGCCUCCCGAGUGAGGUCCGCGCUUCGGCUAGGAUGUUGGCGUAAUGGUUGUCUGCGGCCCGUCUUGAAACACGGACCAAGGAGUCUAACAUCUAUGCGAGUGUUCGGGUGUCAAACCCCUACGCGUAAUGAAAGUGAACGGAGGUGGGAACUUUUUGUGCACCAUCGACCGAUCCUGAUGUCUUCGGAUGGAUUUGAGUAAGAGCAUAGCUGUUGGGACCCGAAAGAUGGUGAACUAUGCCUGAAUAGGGUGAAGCCAGAGGAAACUCUGGUGGAGGCUCGCAGCGGUUCUGACGUGCAAAUCGAUCGUCAAAUUUGGGUAUAGGGGCGAAAGACUAAUCGAACCAU